CUGCGCCAUACACGAGGCGGUGAAGCGCUGCCUCUGCCUGCUGGGCAGAGCGACCUAUCAAGACCUGGGUUCUUCGCCCACCGCGAAGC
Molecule: transfer RNA, 89 nt
Filed under: Mesorhizobium sp. L-2-11
Lineage: Bacteria; Pseudomonadati; Pseudomonadota; Alphaproteobacteria; Hyphomicrobiales; Phyllobacteriaceae
Description: tRNA-Ser
Source: RNAcentral